AUAAGCUGUGUUGGGUGGACUGGAGGUGUGUCCACUACUGUGUUGGGUGGACUGGAGGUGUGUCCACUACUGUGUUGGGUGGACUGGAGGUGUGUCCACUACUGUGUUGGGUGGACUGGAGGUGUGUCCACUACUGUGUUGGGUGGACUGGAGGUGUGUCCACUACUGUGUUGGGUGGACUGGAGGUGUGUCCACUACUGUGUUGGGUGGACUGGAGGUGUGUCCACUACUGUGUUGGGUGGACUGGAGGUGUGUCCACUACUGUGUUGGGUGGACUGGAGGUGUGUCCACUACUGUGUUGGGUGGACUGGAGGUGUGUCCACUACUGUGUUGGGUGGACUGGAGGUGUGUCCACUACUGUGUUGGGUGGACUGGAGGUGUGUCCACUACUGUGUUGGGUGGACUGGAGGUGUGUCCACUACUGUGUUGGGUGGACUGGAGGUGUGUCCACUACUGUGUUGGGUGGACUGGAGGUGUGUCCACUACUGUGUUGGGUGGACUGGAGGUGUGUCCACUACUGUUGAACAGUGAUGUGUCAACAAACGAUCUCAGGGACGUAAAAUAAAUAAUUAGUUCUUAGUUAACCUGCCAGUGGGAAAAUAAAAGCUCAAAUAAAA
Oncorhynchus keta (chum salmon) is the source of this 617-nucleotide long non-coding RNA. RefSeq lists it as uncharacterized. The transcript is spliced from 3 exons. The record is from RefSeq and is a predicted model, not a curated record. Lineage: Eukaryota; Metazoa; Chordata; Actinopteri; Salmoniformes; Salmonidae.